RNAcentral lists this ribosomal RNA (270 nucleotides) under uncultured bacterium. RNAcentral describes it as "partial 16S ribosomal RNA". It matches the Rfam family "Bacterial small subunit ribosomal RNA", at positions 29 to 298 of the family's 1533-position model. The record is from RNAcentral.
AGUGAACGCUGGCGGCAUGCCUAACACAUGCAAGUCGAACGGUAACAGGCCCGCAAGGGUGCUGACGAGUGGCGGACGGGUGAGGAAUACAUCGGAAUCUGCCCGGUUGUGGGGGAUAACGUAGGGAAACUUACGCUAAUACCGCAUACGACCGAAAGGUGAAAGCGUGGGAUCCGCAAGGACCUCGCGCAGCCGGAUGAGCCGAUGUCGGAUUAGCUAGUUGGCGGGGUAAAAGCCCACCAAGGCGACGAUCCGUAGCUGGUCUGAGAG